CGCGCAGGUGGUUGAUUAAGUCUGAUGUGAAAGCCCACGGCCUAACCGUGGAGGGUCAUUGGAAACUGGUCAACUUGAGUGCAAAAGAGGGAAGUGGAAUUCCAUGUGUAGCGGUGAAAUGCGUAGAGAUAUGGAGGAACACCAGUGGCGAAGGCGGCUUCCUGGUCUGUAACUGACGUUGAGGCUCGAAAGCGUGGGGAGCAAACA
This 207-nucleotide ribosomal RNA is filed under the name uncultured bacterium. Its description in RNAcentral is "partial 16S ribosomal RNA". It matches the Rfam family "Bacterial small subunit ribosomal RNA", at positions 568 to 774 of the family's 1533-position model. The record is from RNAcentral.